RNAcentral lists this ribosomal RNA (494 nucleotides) under uncultured bacterium. RNAcentral's name for it is "bacterial SSU rRNA". It matches the Rfam family "Bacterial small subunit ribosomal RNA", at positions 28 to 509 of the family's 1533-position model. The record is from RNAcentral.
GAUGAACGCUAGCUACAGGCUUAACACAUGCAAGUCGAGGGGAAACGAUAUUGGAAGCUUGCUUCUGAUAGGCGUCGACCGGCGCACGGGUGAGUAACGCGUAUCCAACCUGCCCAUCACUUGGGGAUAACCUUGCGAAAGUAAGACUAAUACCCAAUGACGUCUCUAGAAGACAUCUGAAAGAGAUUAAAGAUUUAUCGGUGAUGGAUGGGGAUGCGUCUGAUUAGCUUGUUGGCGGGGUAACGGCCCACCAAGGCGACGAUCAGUAGGGGUUCUGAGAGGAAGGUCCCCCANAUUGGAACUGAGACACGGUCCAAACUCCUACGGGAGGCAGCAGUGAGGAAUAUUGGUCAAUGGGACGAGAGUCUGAACCAGCCAAGUAGCGUGCAGGAUGACGGCCCUAUGGGUUGUAAACUGCUUUAUAAGGGAAUAAAGUGAGUCUCGUGAGACUUUUUGCAUGUACCUUAUGAAUAAGGACCGGCUAAUUCCGUGCC